This is a long non-coding RNA of Fundulus heteroclitus (mummichog), 1084 nucleotides long. RefSeq lists it as uncharacterized. The transcript has 3 exons. The record is from RefSeq and is a predicted model, not a curated record. Lineage: Eukaryota; Metazoa; Chordata; Actinopteri; Cyprinodontiformes; Fundulidae.
AGGGAGCAUGCCAGGCUUUCAGCCCCUGAGAGCUUAUUUUGGAGGGUGGAGGGGGGGGUCAGUGGAGGACAAAGCAGCUUUCAUUGCUCAUGUAUUCGGCGGGCUGCAGAGCUGCUCUCUGAGAGGUAGCAUUUACCUUCUCGUCUCCCAUCAUGGGAUUUCAGCUCACCUGAUCCUUCCUGGCAUCCACUUCAACAGGCAGAAAGGAGGCGAGCAGGAAGGCAGCCGGCACGGAUGGUCAAAGUACCUGUGACCGAAUCUGCGCUCAGGGCCGGAUCUCUCCAGCUGAGAUACCAUUUCCCGAGAGACGGGGACGCUCGAGCUCUUUACCUUUAUCUCCGGUCCGACGAGGAGCCAUCAAUGGUGCGACAAAAACAACACAAAUAUCCAUGCUGGUGGCUCGGAUGAAGGAAACAGUGCUGCCAUAUAUACAAGACUGGCCUGCGUGACCCUCCCACUCAAUGGAGUUACUCACAAAGUAGCCUUUCUCACUCCCGACCAGUUUGGAUCAUAAUGUGCUCAUUAUUGCAUGGAUGCAGGAACGCUGCCCCUGCAGUGCAGCGUGAAAGCAGAAGAGGUCAGUAUACAACAAAAGCUUUUCAUCUCCAUCUUUUCUCUCCGUCAGUCAGUUUUUAACCUCACAUGGCUCUGCCUUUACGCCACUGAAAGGAAGAUUUACAAUGACUGAAAAAAAAAAAAAAGCAAACAGAUCAAAUACAUGAACAAAGACCGUAUUUAAUGUUUGUCAAAUAUUUUCCCAUCGCCAACAUUUACAUUCUUAGCCAUCACGGUAGAGAAUAGGCUCACUAACGGUUAUUUGUGGGCCUCCUUACGAGGAGCCUAAUGUCAUGCCGAGCCCACUUAGUACCCAUGCAGCCUGAGAAAUAUCUUUUGGGGGCUUGGACUGGGAUAAUUAUUGUCUAAUAGUGUGUUUUGUCUUUUCAGUGCCUUUUUGUAAUGUUAUGAGUGAAACUGUGGGGGGCUGAAUCCCAAUCUGGUCACACCCUGUGAAUUAUUUUGUUUUCACUUUCACGUUCAGCUUGUGUUUACGUUUUUGGCGUUGCUGCUUCACAGCCAGGUCACA